CUUCCCCAACCCAAAAUGAUGCUGGGUAAGUCUGUUGGGCUGCAGGGUGAAGAGUUUCUGCAGAGGAGAGGAUGACUGGGGGAAGAGGAGUUGCUUAGGGUAUGGAUUAAGGGGAGAGGACCAAAACAUUUGUCUUUGUGCUAUUGAUCGCUUGCCAUGGUCCUGCGGUGAGUUGGAGAGGACUGGGAAUACAACAGUAACAUCAGACGCCCCGUUUCUUCUCCAGACAGAAAA
RNAcentral lists this long non-coding RNA (234 nucleotides) under Anser brachyrhynchus (Pink-footed goose). RNAcentral's name for it is "lncRNA (ENSABRG00000021942.1)". Lineage: Eukaryota; Metazoa; Chordata; Aves; Anseriformes; Anatidae. The record is from RNAcentral.